This 275-nucleotide ribosomal RNA is filed under the name uncultured bacterium. Its description in RNAcentral is "partial 16S ribosomal RNA". The record is from RNAcentral.
CUGCUGCCUUCCGUAGGAGUCUGGUCCGUGUCUCAGUACCAGUGUGGGGGACCUUCCUCUCAGAACCCCUACGCAUCGUCGGUUAGGUGGGCCGUUACCCCGCCUACUGCCUAAUGCGCCGCAUGCCCAUCCCUGUCCGGCCGAGCCUUUCCUGCCUCCGGGAUGCCCCGGUGGCAUGUACGCGGGUUUAGCCCGCCUUUCGGCGGGUUGUCCCCCUGACAGGGGCAGGUUGCAUACGUGUUACUCACCCGUGCGCCGGUCGCCGGCGGAGAAAG